UGUCCUGUCUCAUGUUUAAGUCUUUAAGCCAUUUUGAGUUUACUUUCGUGUGUGGUGUGAGGGAGUGUUCUAACUUCACUGAUUGACAUGCGGCUGUCUAGUUAUCCCAAAACAACUUAUUGAAGAGACUGUCUUUUUCUCAAUUGUAUAUUCUUGCCUCCUUUGUUGAAGAUUAACUGACUGUAGAUGUGUGUGUUUAUUUCUGGGCUCUCUAUUGUGUUCCACUGAUCCAUGUCUGUUUUUGUGCCAAUACCAUGCCAUUUUGAUUACUACAGUUUUGUAGUCUUGUCUGAAGUCUGGGAGGGUUAUGCCUCCAGCUUUGCUCUUUUUCUUCAGUAUUGCUUUGGCAAUUCUGGGUUUUUUUGUGAUUCCAUAUAAACUUUAGGAUUAUUUGUUCUAGUUCUGUGAAAGUGUUUUGGACAUAACAACUAUUCUCUGCUCAAGUAGUAUCUAACUUAAAUUCUAUCAAUGCUAUGUCUAAUUUCCCCUUUCUUCAUUGUAGAGACCUAUGCCUGGUAUCUGUAAGGAAAGGAGAAGGUAAGUUAAAUCUUCUAUCAUUUGCAAAUGUCAGCACACUUCCUGGGACCAACUCCUAGUGAAAUGAAGUGACUAGAUAUUUUGCAGAAAAAAAUUUGGACAUUUGGGAUUUUUAUAAAUUGUUUUCUGAAUCUGUUUUACCACUUAAAAUAUAGGAUUUAUAGUGUGUCACCCACCACCCAAACUUCCGAAAAAUCUUACGUUGCUUGAGUAAAAACUGAUGACUAUUUUGAUUGUUGAUUAUUCCAGUCAACCUCCCAGACAUCAACAGCAAUAAAGUCCUUCUCAGAUUUAGCAAUGAGCUUGUGUAGGAUUAUAAAUAAUUAGGACUUUUCCCUAUUUCAUGUUUCCCCCAAAUUUUAUUGCUGAAGUAACUUUUCCUAGGGGCCCCCAAGCAGAAGGAAGAACGGGGUGCUGGCAGGAGGACCCCUGAUGGGGCAAGGACGGACCCUUCCAGAGGAGUUCCCUGACUGCCAGGAAUUUCAGCAAAGGCAGCAAUGGACUAAUUUUUUGUCGACAUACUUGGUGUAGUCCGUAGGAUAUCAGAGACCCCCACCAGAGGACACCUGGAGUCUACCUGGAACUGGCACUCCGUACCAGCACGGCCCCCCUGUGCCCCGUCGGCUUCUCGAACACUCCUGUGGUGUGCCGAAAACUACUGUUGUACUCUGAUGCUUUUGCAAGAAUGGUUCACCUUUAAGAAGAUUCACAGAAAG
Molecule: non-coding RNA, 1253 nt
Organism: Vicugna pacos (alpaca)
Lineage: Eukaryota; Metazoa; Chordata; Mammalia; Artiodactyla; Camelidae
Source: RefSeq, a predicted model, not a curated record